AUUGAACGCUGGCGGCAUGCUUUACACAUGCAAGUCGAACGGUAACAGGCCGCAAGGUGCUGACGAGUGGCGAACGGGUGAGUAAUGCAUCGGAACGUGCCCAGUCGUGGGGGAUAACUACUCGAAAGAGUAGCUAAUACCGCAUACGAUCUAUGGAUGAAAGCGGGGGACCGUAAGGCCUCGCGCGAUUGGAGCGGCCGAUGUCAGAUUAGGUAGUUGGUGGGGUAAAGGCUCACCAAGCCAACGAUCUGUAGCUGGUCUGAGAGGACGACCAGCCACACGGGGAAUGAGAAACGGCCCAGAAUCCGAAGGGAGGCAGCAGUGGGGAAUUUUGGACAAUGGGCGCAAGCCUGAUCCAGCAAUGCCGCGGGCAGGAAGAAGGCCUUCGGGUUGUAAACUGCUUUUGUACGGAACGAAACGGCUCUGGUUAAUAACCGGGGGUAAUGACGGUACCGUAAGAAUAAGCACCGGCUAACUACGUG
RNAcentral lists this ribosomal RNA (482 nucleotides) under uncultured bacterium. RNAcentral's name for it is "partial 16S ribosomal RNA". It matches the Rfam family "Bacterial small subunit ribosomal RNA", at positions 29 to 507 of the family's 1533-position model. The record is from RNAcentral.